RNAcentral lists this ribosomal RNA (471 nucleotides) under uncultured bacterium. Its description in RNAcentral is "bacterial SSU rRNA". It matches the Rfam family "Bacterial small subunit ribosomal RNA", at positions 30 to 505 of the family's 1533-position model. The record is from RNAcentral.
CGAACGUUAGCGGUGUGGAUUAGGCAUGCAAGUCGUGCGAGAAAGCUCCCUUCGGGGAGUGAGUAGAGCGGCGAAAGGGUGAGUAAUACGUAACCAACCUACCCCUGAGAUCGGAAUAACCGGUGGAAACGCCGGCUAAUGCCGAAUGGUUCCUCUGGCGGGCAUCCGCCGGUGGAUAAACGGCCUCGGCUGUUCGGGGAGGGGGUUACGGGCUAUCAGCUUGUUGGUGGGGUAACGGCCUACCAAGGCGAUGACGGCUAGCCGGUCUGAGAGGACGAUCGGCCACACUGGGACUGAGACACUGCCCAGACUCCUACGGGAGGCUGCAGUCGAGAAUCUUCCGCAAUGGGCGAAAGCCUGACGGAGCGACACCGCGUACAGGAUGAAGGCCUUCGGGUUGUAAACUGUUGUCACGCUAUAGGAAACGUCUUCGGACCUGACCAAAGCGAGAGGAAGCACCGGCUAACUCCG